UGCAUCGGGAAUUGAACCCGAGCCGCUCGCGUGGCAGGCGAGCAUUCUACCACUGAACCAC
Molecule: transfer RNA, 61 nt
Filed under: Cordylochernes scorpioides
Lineage: Eukaryota; Metazoa; Arthropoda; Arachnida; Pseudoscorpiones; Chernetidae
Description: tRNA-Gly
Source: RNAcentral